Long non-coding RNA from Dicentrarchus labrax (European seabass), 1106 nucleotides. RefSeq lists it as uncharacterized. NCBI's taxonomy places the organism in Eukaryota, Metazoa, Chordata, Actinopteri, Moronidae. The record is from RefSeq and is a predicted model, not a curated record. The transcript has 3 exons.
UGGAAGGACAGCUUGAAGUAAUAUGUGGGAACAAAACACAAGAAAGGUCCAUCCUUCCUGAGGAAUGAACAUUGCCCGAGGAUGAACGCUCACCACCUCCUCCUCCUUUCCUGUGGGAACCAAGCACAGACCCCUGAGGAACACCUCCGCAAAUCAUCCCUUCACUGCAAAAGAGAGCCUGCACAGAGAGACUCAGAAACACCGACAGUGAGCGACUGGGAGCAAGAAGGAGAGCUAACUGACUUAAUGAGGAGUUGAGUUUUGAAGCCGCAACGCCCCAUUUAGAGACAAAUCAAAAUCCAAUCAGGAUCCGUUUAUCACUGCACUCUCUGCUUUGAGGAGCUGGACUGAAGUGCUGACCUUAGUGCACGAGAAAUUAUGGGUAACCAUCAUAUCCCACGUCAGCGUGAUAAAAACUGGUCAUCACCACUACAGCAGCACAAAAUGUAGCCUCACAUACAUACAUUCACAUACUUGUGGUACACUGUAAUCAGUUGUGAUUAGGGGAUCACCUCUCACGUCAAGACACAAAGCAAUAACUAAUAUGGGGAUGGCAGAGAGAGAAGGAAGGAUACUGAUGGAGGGCAAGAAGAGAUAAUAUGAGGGAUGUAGCAGAGGGAGAAGAGGAUUUGAUGACAAGGACCUUUGGGUGAGUGAGGAGCAGAGGUGCUGAUGUUAGCACCUAUGAAUCACUAACAGACAAUGACAGAGAAAGGAAGAUAGAAACACAGAGAGAGCAAAGGGCAUAAAUAGAGCUGUAAGGCUGAGUGUGGCACCGCUGGCUGUGAUUGACAGCAGAGUCGACCUGGCUUUGCCAACAGAUGGAUAGACUUGUUUGGAUGUUUUAUUCAUCUGCAGAAGUGAAAUUUUGUUUUGGUCACACCAGCUAAUCCGCUACCCCUGGAGCAGACAAGUAUUAAACUGAAGCCUUCCAGAUAAGCAAUGCCCUCACAAGACCAAGCUUUAAUUAAGAAGCUGAUCAUUUGUCAAGUGGUGCCUGUGCAAUGACAGCCACAAACCCAUGACAUCAUGGCUGGAUGAAGUAAGAGUUUGGUGUAUGGAUGAUGGGAAAAUCUGUUCACUCCACUGCUCCAUAAAGUAAUUCU